This is a long non-coding RNA of Alligator sinensis (Chinese alligator), 248 nucleotides long. RefSeq lists it as uncharacterized. NCBI's taxonomy places the organism in Eukaryota, Metazoa, Chordata, Crocodylia, Alligatoridae. The transcript is spliced from 3 exons. The record is from RefSeq and is a predicted model, not a curated record.
GUAGUCAGAGGGGAAGGAGCCUCCAGGGAAGAAGUGCCCUGUGAUGCUGAAACUACCUGAGGUGCUGCACCUAGGGCAAAGGGGGCUCUGUGAGCACCACAGGAUGUACAAUGCCCAGAAUGGAUGCAGUCCAUCUCAGCAAGGUGCUGCCAGCCCCUGUGGUGAGCUGGCUCCUUGAGCAGAGACAGCAGGCUCAAGAACAGGAGCAGAGGGAUGAGCCCACAGUAGCUUCACCAAUGUACCGUGGG